This 927-nucleotide ribosomal RNA is filed under the name Bostrychia calliptera. Its description in RNAcentral is "eukaryotic LSU rRNA". It matches the Rfam family "Eukaryotic large subunit ribosomal RNA", at positions 1278 to 2159 of the family's 3401-position model. The record is from RNAcentral. Lineage: Eukaryota; Rhodophyta; Florideophyceae; Ceramiales; Rhodomelaceae.
GUGUGUAACAACUCACCUGCCGAAUGGAUUAGCCCUGAAAAUGGAUGGCGCUGAAGCGGGCAGCCGACACUGUGCCGUCUGGGCAAAAAAUAUUUUUAAAAAGGGAGUGGAUCCAGAUGAGUAGGAGGAAUGUGGCGGUCGUAUUGAAGCGUGUGCGCAAGCAUGCGUGAAACGGCCGCUAGUACAGAUCUUGGUGGUAGUAGCAAAUAUUCAAAUGAGAACCUUGAAGGGCGAAGCGGGGAAGGGUUCCACGCGAACAUUGAUUGGGCGUGGGUGAGUCGUUCCUAAGCCGUGUGGUAAUGGGUAGAGAAACGGCGAAAGGGAAGCAGGUUGAUAUUCCUGCACACGGAUGUGGAUAUGCGGUGACGCACACUGGGGCGGUGAAGUCGUCGAUUGCACUGGGCAGAGAUUUCUUUUCUGUUUGACGGAGCCUGACUGUACGCUAUGGAAUCCGCUUGUCGGGAGAAAUAGGUAUGUCACGGCAAAGCGCCGGGUUUUUUUUUCUGGCGUCCAGUUUGUGAUUGGCGGACCUUGAAAAACUGUCUGCUGGCAAAACACUCGUUGUUUUGUGUGAAAAAAUUCCACGCCGUAACGUACCGAUAACCGCAUCAGGUCCCCAAGGUGAACAGCCUCUGCUCGAUAUGAAAAAUGCAGGUGAGGGAAGUCGGCAAAUUGGACCCGUAACUUUGGGAAAAGGGUUGGCUCUAGUGCUGCGUAGGAGUGGUCACUGGUUGUAGCUGCGGACUGUGGUGUUUUGUUUCAUUGUGAGGGCCUGCGGGCGGAAAAGUCUUCGGGUUUUUCUUCGCUCGCGCUUUUGCGGUGGAAUGAGGCGCCGUUUUUCGCGGUUCCUGGGGACGCCUACAGCAUGCAGCAAACUAGAACUGUAACGGACAAAGGGAAUCCGACUGUUUAAUUAAAACAAAGCAU